CCCUUAGAUGUUCUGGGCUGCACGCGCGCUACACUGCUGCAAUUAACGGGUUUUCUGUGCCGAAAGUCUUGGGGAAUCCUUUGAAUAUGCGGCGUGAUGGGGAUAGAAUAUUGUAAUUAUUACUCUUCAACGAGGAAUUCCUAGUAAGCGCGAGUCAUCAGCUCGCGUUGAUUACGUCCCUGCCCUUUGUACACACCGCCCGUCGCUCCUACCGAUUGAAUGGUCCGGUGAAGCGUUCGGAUGUGUGAGGCGAGACGGUCCGCCGUCCCUCCUCGUGCAGAAGUUCGUUAAACCUUAUCAUUUAGAGGAAGGAGAAGUCGUANCA
Molecule: ribosomal RNA, 325 nt
Filed under: uncultured eukaryote
Lineage: Eukaryota
Description: partial 18S ribosomal RNA
Rfam family: Eukaryotic small subunit ribosomal RNA
Source: RNAcentral